RNAcentral lists this ribosomal RNA (456 nucleotides) under Sertularella polyzonias. RNAcentral's name for it is "partial 16S ribosomal RNA". It matches the Rfam family "Bacterial large subunit ribosomal RNA", at positions 1919 to 2542 of the family's 2925-position model. The record is from RNAcentral. Lineage: Eukaryota; Metazoa; Cnidaria; Hydrozoa; Leptothecata; Sertulariidae.
AAAAUUAAAAGGACGCGGUAACCUUGACCGUGAUAAUGUAGCAUAAUCAUUCGCCAUUUAAUUGAUGGAUAGUAUGAAUGGUUGAACGAAUAUUCCACUGUCUUAAAAAGAAAUAACUAGAAAUUAGAAUAAUAGUAAAGAUUCUAUUUAAAAUUGUAAGACGAAAAGACCCUAUAGAGCUUAACUAUAAGUUUUCUGAUUAAUAUUAAAAGAAAAUUUGGUAGUUUAGUUGGGGCGACUGUCUUUUAAAAUCAACAAAGACAAGCAAAAUUAAUAUAAAAAUUUAUUGUAUAAUUAAUAAAUUUAACAAUUACAAAAGUAGGCUAUAAUGACCCGUUAUUAUUAUAUAAAAAAAAUAACGAUCAAUAAAUAAAAGCUACCUUAGGGAUAACAGGAUAAUUUUAUUUUAGAGAUCUAAUCGAAAAUAAAGUUUGUCACCUCUAUGUUGAAUUAAGA